AGUGAACGCUGGCGGUAGGCCUAACACAUGCAAGUCGAACGGCAGCACAGUAAGAGCUUGCUCUUACGGGUGGCGAGUGGCGGACGGGUGAGGAAUACAUCGGAAUCUACUUUUUCGUGGGGGAUAACGUAGGGAAACUUACGCUAAUACCGCAUACGACCUACGGGUGAAAGCAGGGGAUCUUCGGACUUUGCGCGAUUGAAUGAGCCGAUGUCGGAUUAGCUAGUUGGCGGGGUAAAGGCCCACCAAGGCGACGAUCCGUAGCUGGUCUGAGAGGAUGAUCGGCCACACUGGAACUGAGACACGGUCCAGACUCCUACGGGAGGCAGCAGUGGGGAAUAUUGGACAAUGGGCGAAAGCCUGAUCCAGCCAUACCGCGUGGGUGAAGAAGGCCUUCGGGUUGUAAAGCCCUUUUGUUGGGAAAGAAAAGCAGCAGGUUAAUACCCCGCUGUUCUGACGGUACCCAAAGAAUAAGCACCGGCUAACUUCGUG
Molecule: ribosomal RNA, 492 nt
Filed under: uncultured bacterium
Lineage: Bacteria
Description: partial 16S ribosomal RNA
Rfam family: Bacterial small subunit ribosomal RNA
Source: RNAcentral